Molecule: ribosomal RNA, 492 nt
Filed under: uncultured bacterium
Lineage: Bacteria
Description: partial 16S ribosomal RNA
Rfam family: Bacterial small subunit ribosomal RNA
Source: RNAcentral
AGUGAACGCUGGCGGUAGGCCUAACACAUGCCAGUCGAACGGCAGCACAGUAAGAGCUUGCCCUUACGGGUGGCGAGUGGCGGACGGGUGAGGAAUACAUCGGAAUCUACUUUUUCGUGGGGGAUAACGUAGGGAAACUUACGCUAAUACCGCAUACGACCUACGGGUGAAAGCAGGGGAUCUUCGGACCUUGCGCGAUUGAAUGAGCCGAUGUCGGAUUAGCUAGUUGGCGGGGUAAAGGCCCACCAAGGCGACGAUCCGUAGCUGGUCUGAGAGGAUGAUCAGCCACACUGGAACUGAGACACGGUCCAGACUCCUACGGGAGGCAGCAGUGGGGAAUAUUGGACAAUGGGCGCAAGCCUGAUCCAGCCAUACCGCGUGGGUGAAGAAGGCCUUCGGGUUGUAAAGCCCUUUUGUUGGGAAAGAAAAACAGCAGGUUAAUACCCCGCUGUUCUGACGGUACCCAAAGAAUAAGCACCGGCUAACUUCGUG